Molecule: small RNA, 604 nt
Filed under: Pan troglodytes (chimpanzee)
Lineage: Eukaryota; Metazoa; Chordata; Mammalia; Primates; Hominidae
Description: retained intron
Source: RNAcentral
UCAGCUGUUGCGGGGCGGGGCCUUCGCAGAGCAUGGCGGCGGGCGAGCUUGAGGGUGGCAAGACCCUGAGCGGGCUGCUGAAUGCGCUGGCCCAGGACACUUUCCACGGGUACCCCGGCAUCACAGAGGAGCUGCUACGGAGCCAGCUAUAUCCAGAGGUGGCACCCGAGGAGUUCCGCCCCUUUCUGGCAAAGAUGAGGGGGAUUCUUAAGUCUAUUGCGUCUGCAGACAUGGAUUUCAACCAGCUGGAGGCAUUCUUGACUGCUCAAACCAAAAAGCAAGGUGGGAUCACAUCUGACCAAGCUGCUGUCAUUUCCAAAUUCUGGAAGAGCCACAAGACAAAAAUCCGUGAGAGCCUCAUGAACCAGAGCCGCUGGAAUAGCGGGCUUCGGGGCCUGAGCUGGAGAGUUGAUGGCAAGUCUCAGUCAAGGCACUCAGCUCAAAUACACACACCUGUUGCCAUUAUAGAGCUGGAAUUAGGCAAAUAUGGACAGGUGAGUUAAACUUAAGUCAAUUUUCCUUUGUAAACUGUAUUUUUCACUACAUGUUAGCUUGUCUAUUCAGCUUGAUUUUAUGCAAUAACAGCAACAGGAAAAGACACUGU